AUGACCUUGUCGGUGCAUCCGACGAGCCGGCCGCCGAUGAACACCGCCGGCACAGCAGGGUUCCGGCCGAGGAGCCGCACCAGCGCCUUCUCCAUCUCCUUCCCCCUAGGGUCCUCGUCCAGUUCGACCACCAUCGGGUUCACCCCGAGAUCGCGGAGGAGGCUCGUCACCGUGUGGCACAUGCAGCAGGAGCUCAUGCCGAAGAUCACCACCGCCCGCUGCCCCGCUAGCUUCGUCACCUGCUCCAUCAAGCUUAGUGCUGUGCUAGUGCUACUGCUAGUAAGCUCAAUUAAUAAUACGAUCGCUUCUAACUAG
Molecule: ribosomal RNA, 315 nt
Filed under: Triticum aestivum (bread wheat)
Lineage: Eukaryota; Viridiplantae; Streptophyta; Magnoliopsida; Poales; Poaceae
Description: partial small subunit ribosomal RNA
Source: RNAcentral